UACAGAGGGUGCGAGCGUUAAUCGGAAUUACUGGGCGUAAAGGGUGCGUAGGCGGUCGAAUAAGUUAAUUGUGAAAGUCCCGAGCUUAACUUGGGGAUUGCAGUUAAUACUGUUCGGCUAGAGUGUUGUAGAGGUAAGCGGAAUUUCCGGUGUAGCGGUGAAAUGCGUAGAUAUCGGAAGGAACAUCGAUGGCGAAGGCAGCUUUCUGGACAACAACUGACGCUGAGGCACGAAAGCGUGGGGAGCAAACAGG
RNAcentral lists this ribosomal RNA (253 nucleotides) under uncultured bacterium. Its description in RNAcentral is "partial 16S ribosomal RNA". It matches the Rfam family "Bacterial small subunit ribosomal RNA", at positions 524 to 776 of the family's 1533-position model. The record is from RNAcentral.